Molecule: ribosomal RNA, 82 nt
Filed under: uncultured bacterium
Lineage: Bacteria
Description: partial 16S ribosomal RNA
Source: RNAcentral
CUGCUGCCUUCCGUAGGAGUCUGGCCGUGUCUCAGUCCAGUGUGGGGGGCCUUCCUCUCAGAACCCCUACGCAUCGUCGUCG